This 254-nucleotide ribosomal RNA is filed under the name uncultured bacterium. Its description in RNAcentral is "partial 16S ribosomal RNA". It matches the Rfam family "Bacterial small subunit ribosomal RNA", at positions 524 to 776 of the family's 1533-position model. The record is from RNAcentral.
UACGGAGGGUGCAAACGUUACCCGGAUUCACUGGGCGUAAAGAGCGCGUAGGCGGUCUUGCCAGUCGGCGAUUAAAUACCGGUGCUUAACACCGGGACUGUUACCGAUACUACAAGACUAAGAAGAUAGCAGGGGUAAGCGGAACUUUGGGUGUAGGGGUGAAAUCCGUAGAUAUCCAAAGGAACACCAAUGGCGAAGGCAGCUUACUGGGCUAUACUUGACGCUGAGGCGCGAAAGCGUGGGGAGCAAACGGG